AAGCGAUGCCAGGGGCAGGUGAGGGUCGGACGCGCUCAGGCCCAGCCCUCACCCCUUCAGGUCUGAGGGACACAGUGGAGUCCCAGCCUCAAGAAGUUUCCCCAACCUCUCAGCAACUUGAGAGCAAUGCCAGGCACCGAAUAACCGGCCCCCGCCCCUUAUCCCCGGCCGACCCGUCCGCCGAGGUGGCUGCCCUGGGAACCUCCUGUUCCUGGUCCAGGAGAGGAAACGCACACCCGGGCCGGACGCACAGAAGCCGCACCCUGGCCGGGGCCACAAGCCUGACAGCUACCGACAAGCCCCCACCCACAGGAGCACGCGACGUGCUCUCCUUUCAAGGGAAAGGUUUUUCUUCCUGGGCCCUGGAAUGGGCCUGAAGUCAGCCGGCCUCAGCCCACAGGGUGAAGGAGGGGCGGGCACAGCCCGGCCGCGGCCCCAGCACACACAGGGCGGGCGCAGGGGCGGGGGCGCGCCAGCCCCGCAGUGUGUUCGGAGCCCAGCGGCUCUGAGUCGCCGCCACCAGCCUGGCCGCCUUCUGCUCCACCACCCCUCCCCUGGACCGGCACCGGCACAGAGGAUCAGGAGUGUUGGCACCUGUCUUCCAGGUCUGUUCACCCCUCCCCUGGACCCGCACUGGCACAGAGGGUCAAGAGUGUUGGCAUCUGUCUUCCAGGUCUGUUCACCCCUCCCCUGGACCCACACUGGCACAGAGGGUCAAGAGUGUUGGCACCUGUCUUCCGGGUGUCCAUCCCUCCGUUUGUUUGUUGAGUGACUGCAUGUUCUCAUUUCCUUACAUACAGUUCUUCAAGAGGUAUUAUCCACAUCUUAUUUUAUUUUCACCUUCUUUUCUGUUACCUGUAUGUUUGAAUUUUCCUAUAAGUAUUUUUGUUUCAUCUUUGCUUUUUUAAAUUAAAAAAUCAGUUUUAAAAUUG
This 932-nucleotide non-coding RNA is filed under the name Pongo abelii (Sumatran orangutan). Lineage: Eukaryota; Metazoa; Chordata; Mammalia; Primates; Hominidae. The record is from RNAcentral.